UGGGGAAUUUUGGACAAUGGGCGAAAGCCUGAUCCAGCCAUGCCGCGUGCAGGAUGAAGGCCUUCGGGUUGUAAACUGCUUUUGUACGGAACGAAAAGCCUCUUUCUAAUAAAGAGGGGUCAUGACGGUACCGUAAGAAUAAGCACCGGCUAACUACGUGCCAGCAGCCGCGGUAAUACGUAGGGUGCAAGCGUUAAUCGGAAUUACUGGGCGUAAAGCGUGCGCAGGCGGUUUUGUAAGACAGAGGUGAAAUCCCCGGGCUCAACCUGGGAACUGCCUUUGUGACUGCAAGGCUGGAGUGCGGCAGAGGGGGAUGGAAUUCCGCGUGUAGCAGUGAAAUGCGUAGAUAUGCGGAGGAACACCGAUGGCGAAGGCAAUCCCCUGGGCUGCACUGACGCUCAUGCGCGAAAGCGUGGGGAGCAAACAGGAUUAGAUACCCUGGUAGUCCACGCCCUAAACGAUGUCAAACUGGUUGUUGGGUCUUUCACUGACUCAGUAACGAAGCUAACGCGUGAAGUUGACCGCCUGGGGAGUACGGCCGCAAGGUUGAAACUCAAAUGAAUUGACGGGGUCAUAGCUGUUUCC
RNAcentral lists this ribosomal RNA (585 nucleotides) under uncultured bacterium. RNAcentral describes it as "partial 16S ribosomal RNA". It matches the Rfam family "Bacterial small subunit ribosomal RNA", at positions 355 to 937 of the family's 1533-position model. The record is from RNAcentral.